UACGUAGGCAGCAAGCGUUGUUCGGAAUUACUGGGCGUAAAGAGUGUGUAGGCGGUGUUCUAAGUCUGUCGUGAAAUCUCCCGGCUUAACUGGGAGGGUGCGGCGGAAACUGGAGUGCUAGAGGGUGGGAGAGGAAAGCGGAAUUCCUGGUGUAGCGGUGAAAUGCGCAGAUAUCAGGAGGAACACCGGUGGCGAAGGCGGAUCUCUGGGCCACUACUGACGCUGAGAAGCGAAAGCGUGGGGAGCGAACAGG
This 253-nucleotide ribosomal RNA is filed under the name uncultured bacterium. RNAcentral describes it as "partial 16S ribosomal RNA". It matches the Rfam family "Bacterial small subunit ribosomal RNA", at positions 524 to 776 of the family's 1533-position model. The record is from RNAcentral.